UAGGGAAUCUUCCGCAAUGGACGAAAGUCUGACGGAGCAACGCCGCGUGAGCGAAGAAGGUCUUCGGAUCGUAAAGCUCUGUUGUCAGGGAAGAACAAGUACCGUUCGAACAGGGCGGUACCUUGACGGUACCUGACGAGGAAGCCACGGCUAACUACGUGCCAGCAGCCGCGGUAAUACGUAGGUGGCAAGCGUUGUCCGGAAUUAUUGGGCGUAAAGCGCGCGCAGGCGGUUCCUUACGUCUGAUGUGAAAUCUCGCGGCUCAACCGCGAGCGGCCAUUGGAAACUGGGGAACUUGAGUGCAGGAGAGGGGAGCGGAAUUCCACGUGUAGCGGUGAAAUGCGUAGAGAUGUGGAGGAACACCAGUGGCGAAGGCGGCUCUCUGGUCUGUAACUGACGCUGAGGCGCGAAAGCGUGGGGAGCAAACAGG
Molecule: ribosomal RNA, 430 nt
Filed under: Bacillota bacterium
Lineage: Bacteria; Bacillati; Bacillota
Description: Firmicutes bacterium partial 16S ribosomal RNA
Rfam family: Bacterial small subunit ribosomal RNA
Source: RNAcentral